GGCAAAGAUGCACAGGCGAUGUCAAAGACAACACCAAGCUCCUUGGGUUGCCCAACAUCGGAAACACCUGUUUUAUGAACUCUGCUCUGCAGUGCCUGUUGGAACUGCCUGCAUUCUGCAGAGUCAUCCUAAGACAGCAGGACAUCUGGAGUUCCUACCCCUCUUCUAAACUGCUCCGCUGUAGUGUUUGGUCAGGAGAAAUACAACCACCUGUCACUAAGUCUAAGCGCUCACCUGAGACAUAGCCUGGAACACUACUUCAUGCCGUCUCCAUUGGAAUGUAAAUGCUGGGACUGUUCAUGC
Molecule: long non-coding RNA, 303 nt
Organism: Esox lucius (northern pike)
Lineage: Eukaryota; Metazoa; Chordata; Actinopteri; Esociformes; Esocidae
Exons: 4
Source: RefSeq, a predicted model, not a curated record